CAUAUGCUGACCUUGCAGAGUGCUGGCAGUGGUGCAUGACUUUAAUCCUAGUACUUGGGGGGCAGAGGCAGGGGAAUCUCUGUGAGUUCAAGGUCAGCCUGGUCUACAGAGGGAGUUCCAGGACUACACAGAGAAACUGUCUGGAACCACCCUCCAUAUCCCAUGCCCUCCCCUCCCCUGAAAAGAUACACUUUGUCUCCGUAGGUGCUUCAUGAGGUUAUUAAUUUUUUUUUUUUUGGCUUGAGAUUCUAGAUGAGAAUAGAAACUAUGCAUGGGCAAAGGUUUUAAUUUGUACUUGGAGGCAAAUUUAAGUCACUUGAAAAAGUAUGUAACGGACUGGAGAGGUAUUCAGCAGUUGAGAGCAUUUGCUGCUUUAGCAAAGGGGCACUGGUCCAAAGAUUAUCUCAGUAACGCAAUAAAGAAGUAGCUGUUGCUACUUUCAAGGAGACAAGGGCCUGAACAGAAAACUACAAAUUUUAGCCAUGUGGUGGUGGCUCAUGCCUUUGAGCCCAGGAGGCAGAGGCAAGUGGAUCUCUUGAGUUCAAGGCCAGCCUCGUCUCCACAGAGUUCCAGGAUAGCCAGGGUGACAUAGAGAAACCCUGUCUCAAAAAAAAAAAAAAGUCCUAAUUGGUGAAUAUAAGGAGCAAUCUUAAAGGUUCAUAUUCUGUAUGAUUUCACUUAGGGAUAUUCUGCAAAUGACAAA
This 703-nucleotide long non-coding RNA is filed under the name Rattus norvegicus (Norway rat). RNAcentral's name for it is "long non-coding RNA NONRATT024049". Lineage: Eukaryota; Metazoa; Chordata; Mammalia; Rodentia; Muridae. The record is from RNAcentral.